CACUAGCACAGGGCAUGUUGGUACAUCAGGUAAACGUAAACUGUUGCUCGAAGCAUUCGGUGCAAGUAUAUAAGUAGGAAUAUAAAAGUCUCUAUGGAUGUUAUUGUGCUCGGACUCAGAAUCUGCCAUUAACUCCAGCUGCAGCUGAGAAAGAAAAGUAUAUGAAUUAUGCUACGUAUGCAGAGCGAUAUUCGGAAGAAUCAG
Molecule: unclassified non-coding RNA, 204 nt
Filed under: Hevea brasiliensis (rubber tree)
Lineage: Eukaryota; Viridiplantae; Streptophyta; Magnoliopsida; Malpighiales; Euphorbiaceae
Source: RNAcentral